CGCGUAGGCGGCUCAGCAAGUGAGGUGUGAAAGCCCCUGGCUCAACCAGGGAACUGCGCCUCAAACUGCUGAACUUGAGGGCAGGAGAGGAAACGGGAAUUCCCGGUGUAGCGGUGAAAUGCACUGAUAUCGGGAGGAACACCAGUGGCGAAGGCGCGUUUCUGGCCUGCUCCUGACGCUGAGGCGCGAAAGCUAGGGGAGCAAACA
This 207-nucleotide ribosomal RNA is filed under the name uncultured bacterium. RNAcentral's name for it is "partial 16S ribosomal RNA". It matches the Rfam family "Bacterial small subunit ribosomal RNA", at positions 568 to 774 of the family's 1533-position model. The record is from RNAcentral.